Long non-coding RNA from Dioscorea cayenensis subsp. rotundata (Guinea yam), 218 nucleotides. RefSeq lists it as uncharacterized. The record is from RefSeq and is a predicted model, not a curated record. The transcript has 3 exons. Lineage: Eukaryota; Viridiplantae; Streptophyta; Magnoliopsida; Dioscoreales; Dioscoreaceae.
CAACACCAAAAAAAUUUAUUCCCCACAUCCUCUUGAGUAAGGUGGCGAAGCACCUCCAAAGGGAAGGAAACCGCCAAUCAGUGUGCGCGUCUCCAUACGAGGCAACAUGUCUUGUUUUAGUGGUUUUGGUCGUCAUAGCGAGGCGAAGUGCUUGGCAAUUUGUAUCCCGAGUCAGGUUGUUUGUUUACUCUUAAUCAGGUUGCAUUGUAUGAGUGCAG